This 363-nucleotide unclassified non-coding RNA is filed under the name uncultured fungus. RNAcentral describes it as "partial contains small subunit ribosomal RNA, internal transcribed spacer 1, and 5.8S ribosomal RNA". The stretch from base 1 to 73 matches the Rfam family "Eukaryotic small subunit ribosomal RNA", at positions 1759 to 1831 of the family's 1831-position model. Lineage: Eukaryota; Fungi. The record is from RNAcentral.
ACAAACUUGGUCAUUUAGAGGAAGUAAAAGUCGUAACAAGGUUUCCGUAGGUGAACCUGCGGAAGGAUCAUUAUUGAAUUAAAAUUGAAUAGGUUGUUGCUGGCUUCUAGGAGCAUGUGCACAUCUAUUUCAAAUUUUCAACCACAUGUGCACCUUGUGUAGCUCUGAAGAACCUUUCGAGACAGCUCGGUUUUUAGAAUCGCUGUGUACAAAAGCCAGCUUUUCUUGUGUUUUCAGGUCUACAUAUUUUAUAUACUCCAAUAAAAGAUCAGAAUGUUUCAAAUAGGCUAUUUUGCCUGUAACAAUAAAUAUACAACUUUCAACAACGGAUCUCUUGGCUCUCGCAUCGAUGAAGAACGCAGC